ACAAUGGCUUGGGCAAGAAAACUGGUUACAGAUAAGAGCAAUCUGUGCAUAUUGCAAAACAAAAGAAAAUAUCAAUAUGGUUAAGAGAGAAGAUACCGCCUUUGAAAAGAUAAUAAGAGAAAAAGGGGAAGGAAAGAAGGCACAGGCCAGCAAAAUAUAUACAAUGCUAAUAGAGGCCGAUGGAUGUACAAUACAGGACUUGAAAACUAUGUGGGAAACGGAGUUACAAAUCUCGGAACAAGAAAUGAGAAAUGUGGAGGAAAAUAUUGCACAAAUGGUAUCGCACACCCUGCCAAUUAGCAUACUACUAUAAAGAGGGGAGUAGUCAGCGCUGGCAUGGAUGCCACCAGAAAGGGCACUUUAUGCACAUGAUGUGGGAAUGCGAAUAUGUACAAGAUUUUUGGCAAACUAUACAAAAUGUGUCAAAUCAAAUAUUAGGACAUGAGUGGGUCAUAACAAAGGAAUUAGCGGUAUUAGGGAAAAGAGAGGAAAUGGGAAAUAAAAGGGAAAUAAAAGAAGCAAUAAUUGAAUGUGCACAAGCAGUAAUAGUAUUAGGGUGGAAAGAUAAAUCAAAAUGGACAAUAAAUAAAUGGUACCAUUAUAUGGUGGAGCAAAUGGAAUUCGAAA
Anolis sagrei ordinatus is the source of this 627-nucleotide non-coding RNA. The record is from RefSeq and is a predicted model, not a curated record. Lineage: Eukaryota; Metazoa; Chordata; Lepidosauria; Squamata; Anolidae.